Molecule: unclassified non-coding RNA, 1105 nt
Filed under: Octopus sinensis (East Asian common octopus)
Lineage: Eukaryota; Metazoa; Mollusca; Cephalopoda; Octopoda; Octopodidae
Description: uncharacterized LOC115215378, transcript variant X1
Source: RNAcentral
CAAUUGAUCAACCAGAAAAUGCGAUAAAUAUCAGUGUUAAAACAAAAAGUUUUGAAAAACCACAAGAUUUGAAAAAUAAUAAAAUUACUAUUAAAAUUCCUAACAGGAUGAAGGCUUCUACAGAAUUCUAUGGAAACUCAAACCCUGAUCUGUUGACCUCUGAAACUAAAAACAUAACAGUCACUCAUGUGCUGGCUGUAUACAACCAUGGGCCAAGUCCUUUGUUUGGAGUUACAUUAAACGUUACAUUGCCAAGCCUCCUCAAAGAGAGACCUGAUUUAAUACAAAGAAUAUGCAAGAAUCCGUCUUGUCCCACUUCAUUCGACUGGCAAACCAUAAGCAAAGGAUCUAAUAGACAAGUUAAAAUUGUUUUUAAUGUCAAUGAAAAAAUUCAUUCGGUUAAAAAGGACUUAAAAUAUCUGGAGACGAAAGCUAUCUUGGCUAGAAAAGAUCAUCGACUAUACAUUGCUGAUAAGAAUCAAUGGCCAUGGAAGAUAUCGGUGCAAACUGCCUUCCAAAUAGAACAGGAACCUAUUGCCUGGUGGAUUAUUCUUCUUUGUAUACUUGGUGGCAUUUUUAUUCUUGCUCUCUUUAUUGUUUUGUGUUGGUGGCUUGGAUUCUUCAAGCGCAAUAAAGUCAAUCGUGAUGAAGACCAGAAGUCUUUUGCUGCCAGUGAAAAGUUAUCAAAUGAACCAGAAGAAAAUAAUGUUGUGCCAGAAAAAAACACAAACUCGGAUGACAAAUUUUUAUAGCCUUAUACUCAUUAUUUAAAUUAAUGUGUAUAUUGUGUGUACGUGUGUGUGUACGCUGCGUUUUAAGUACAUGGUUGGCAGUGUGUGUAUAUGUUUGUAUUGGUGUGUGUGUGUUUGAAUGAGAAUUGGAGCGAUGAGGAUGGUGGUGUGUGUGGUGGGGUCUAUUAUCUUUUCUGAGAUAAUUUGGAACAAUCUCAACUCUGUAAAAUUAUAUUCCAUUUCAAAAAGAAUCAUAACUGUUACCAAAUAAGAAUGUAAGGAUGUGUAUUACAAAGAAAAAAAGUAAAAAUGCAGUUAGAAUUUAAAGAGAAAGAGGAGAGAAACAGAGAUAGAGAGAGAGAUCAGAAAUGAAG